UACGUAGGGGGCAAGCGUUGUCCGGAAUCAUUGGGCGUAAAGAGCGUGUAGGCGGUCCGGUAAGUCGGCUGUGAAAGUCCAGGGCUCAACCCUGGGAUGCCGGUCGAUACUGCCGGACUAGAGCUCGGAAGAGGCGAGUGGAAUUCCCGGUGUAGCGGUGAAAUGCGCAGAUAUCGGGAGGAACACCUAUGGCGAAGGCAGCUCGCUGGGACGUUACUGACGCUGAUACGCGAAAGCGUGGGGAGCAAACAGG
RNAcentral lists this ribosomal RNA (253 nucleotides) under uncultured bacterium. RNAcentral describes it as "partial 16S ribosomal RNA". It matches the Rfam family "Bacterial small subunit ribosomal RNA", at positions 524 to 776 of the family's 1533-position model. The record is from RNAcentral.